UUUAUGGAGAGUUUGAUCCUGGCUCAGGAUGAACGCUGGCGGCGUGCCUAAUACAUGCAAGUCGAGCGAACGGACGAGAAGCUUGCUUCUCUGAUGUUAGCGGCGGACGGGUGAGUAACACGUGGAUAACCUACCUAUAAGACUGGGAUAACUUCGGGAAACCGGCGCUAAUACCGGAUAAUAUUUUGAACCGCAUGGUUCAAAAGUGAAAG
Molecule: ribosomal RNA, 212 nt
Filed under: Staphylococcus aureus
Lineage: Bacteria; Bacillati; Bacillota; Bacilli; Caryophanales; Staphylococcaceae
Description: partial 16S ribosomal RNA
Rfam family: Bacterial small subunit ribosomal RNA
Source: RNAcentral